Homo sapiens (human) is the source of this 392-nucleotide long non-coding RNA. Ensembl annotates it as long intergenic non-protein coding RNA 640. The record is from Ensembl. NCBI's taxonomy places the organism in Eukaryota, Metazoa, Chordata, Mammalia, Primates, Hominidae.
AAAGCCACAUGUGGACUCCAGCCCCAUGCCUACCAACCGUCUUGUCACUGUCACUCGGAGCUCCUUCCUGCCCAGCGGAUGUGUCCACCCUCUCCUUCUUCCUCUAAUGUUCUUCCUGUCAUUGUUCCCAUACGUAACUCCCUCCCAUCCUGUGUUCCAGUGUAGAUGAGCCCAUUGCAGCAAAGCCUUUGUGUACCAGCCUCUCAUAGAGAAUCCAGCCAGGACUGUGAAGCCCCAGGGAAUGGCUGCACUUCAAGUCAGAAGGAGCCUGGGUCCCUGAAUCAUCAUGUGGAAGGCUCUCCACCCAGUUCAAUGGUGCAAUGGACCACAAGCAGGAACUUAAUUUAGAAUGUGCUUAUUUUGUUAGAUUUUGUAAUUAAAAAAUGGAUCCC